RNAcentral lists this ribosomal RNA (521 nucleotides) under uncultured bacterium. RNAcentral describes it as "bacterial SSU rRNA". It matches the Rfam family "Bacterial small subunit ribosomal RNA", at positions 774 to 1277 of the family's 1533-position model. The record is from RNAcentral.
AGGAAAUAGAUACCCGGGUAGUCCUAGCCGUAAACGGUGCUUGCUUGCUGUAAAAGGAAUCGACCCCUUUUGUGGCGAAGCCAAACGCGAUAAAGCAAGCCGCCUGGGAAGUACGGUCGCAAGAUUAAAACUCAAAGAAAUUGACGGGGGCCUGCACAAGCGGUGGAGUAUGUGGCUUAAUUCGAUGCAACGCGAAGAACCUUACCUGGCCUUGACAUGCAUCUAGUAGAAGGGUGAAAGCCUGACGAGGUAGCAAUACCAGGAUGCACAGGUGCUGCAUGGCUGUCGUCAGCUCGUGUCGUGAGAUGUUGGGUUAAGUCCCGCAACGAGCGCAACCCCGUAUGUUCUGUUGCCACCCGGAUCGAGAGAUUGGAGCACUCUGGACAGACUGCCUCGCUUAAACCGAGGAGGAAGGUGGGAUGACGUCAAGUCAGUAUGGCCCUUACGGCCAGGGCUGCACACGUACUACAAUGCCCGGUCACAGAGGGUAACGCAAGAGCGCAAGCUGGAGCAAAUCCCCG